This 995-nucleotide ribosomal RNA is filed under the name uncultured bacterium. RNAcentral describes it as "bacterial SSU rRNA". It matches the Rfam family "Bacterial small subunit ribosomal RNA", at positions 355 to 1375 of the family's 1533-position model. The record is from RNAcentral.
UGGGGAAUAUUGCACAAUGGGGGAAACCCUGAUGCAGCGACGCCGCGUGGAGGAAGAAGGUCUUCGGAUUGUAAACUCCUGUUGUUGAGGAAGAUAAUGACGGUACUCAACAAGGAAGUGACGGCUAACUACGUGCCAGCAGCCGCGGUAAAACGUAGGUCACAAGCGUUGUCCGGAAUUACUGGGUGUAAAGGGAGCGCAGGCGGGAAGACAAGUUGGAAGUGAAAUCUAUGGGCUCAACCCAUAAACUGCUUUCAAAACUGUUUUUCUUGAGUAGUGCAGAGGUAGGCGGAAUUCCCGGUGUAGCGGUGGAAUGCGUAGAUAUCGGGAGGAACACCAGUGGCGAAGGCGGCCUACUGGGCACCAACUGACGCUGAGGCUCGAAAGUGUGGGUAGCAAACAGGAUUAGAUACCCUGGUAGUCCACACCGUAAACGAUGAUUACUAGGUGUUGGAGGAUUGACCCCUUCAGUGCCGCAGUUAACACAAUAAGUAAUCCACCUGGGGAGUACGACCGCAAGGUUGAAACUCAAAGGAAUUGACGGGGGCCCGCACAAGCAGUGGAGUAUGUGGUUUAAUUCGACGCAACGCGAAGAACCUUACCAAGUCUUGACAUCCCUUGACGAACAUAGAAAUAUGUUUUCUCUUCGGAGCAAGGAGACAGGUGGUGCAUGGUUGUCGUCAGCUCGUGUCGUGAGAUGUUGGGUUAAGUCCCGCAACGAGCGCAACCCUUAUGGUCAGUUACUACGCAAGAGGACUCUGGCCAGACUGCCGUUGACAAAACGGAGGAAGGUGGGGAUGACGUCAAAUCAUCAUGCCCUUUAUGACUUGGGCUACACACGUACUACAAUGGCGUUAAACAAAGAGAAGCAAGACCGCGAGGUGGAGCAAAACUCAGAAACAACGUCCCAGUUCGGACUGCAGGCUGCAACUCGCCUGCACGAAGUCGGAAUUGCUAGUAAUCGCAGAUCAGCAUGCUGCGGUGAAUACGUUCCC